UGCGUAGGCGGUUCUCUAAGUCGGAUGUGAAAACUCUGGGCUCAACCCAGAGCCUGCAUCCGAAACUGGAGGACUAGGGUUCUGGAGGGGAAAGCGGAAUUCCUGGUGUAGCGGUGAAAUGCGUAGAUAUCAGGAGGAACACCGGUGGCGAAGGCGGCUUUCUGGACAGAUACCGACGCUGAGGCACGAAAGCUAGGGGAGCAAACA
This 207-nucleotide ribosomal RNA is filed under the name uncultured bacterium. RNAcentral's name for it is "partial 16S ribosomal RNA". It matches the Rfam family "Bacterial small subunit ribosomal RNA", at positions 568 to 774 of the family's 1533-position model. The record is from RNAcentral.